UACGAAGGGGGCUAGCGUUGUUCGGAAUCACUGGGCGUAAAGCGCACGUAGGCGGGUUCUUAAGUCGGGGGUGAAAUCCUGGAGCUCAACUCCAGAACUGCCUUCGAUACUGGGAAUCUUGAGUCCGGGAGAGGUGAGUGGAACUGCGAGUGUAGAGGUGAAAUUCGUAGAUAUUCGCAAGAACACCAGUGGCGAAGGCGGCUCACUGGCCCGGUACUGACGCUGAGGCACGAAAGCGUGGGGAGCAAACAGG
This 253-nucleotide ribosomal RNA is filed under the name uncultured bacterium. Its description in RNAcentral is "partial 16S ribosomal RNA". It matches the Rfam family "Bacterial small subunit ribosomal RNA", at positions 524 to 776 of the family's 1533-position model. The record is from RNAcentral.